This 107-nucleotide ribosomal RNA is filed under the name human gut metagenome. The record is from RNAcentral.
GACGAUAGCGAUGAGGUCCCACCUGUUCUCAUACCGAACACAGAAGUUAAGCUCAUUAGCGCCGAAAAUACUUAGCUGGAGACGGCUCGGGAAAAUAGGUAGUUGCU